UACGGGGGGUGCGAGCGUUGUCCGGAAUCACUGGGCGUAAAGGGCGCGUAGGUGGCGUGAUAAGGGUGUGGUGAAAGCCCGGGGCUCAACCCCGGGUCUGCCAUGCCGACUGUCAGGCUAGAGUACUGUAGGGGCAGGCGGAAUUCCUGGUGUAGCGGUGAAAUGCGCAGAUAUCAGGAGGAACACCGGUGGCGAAGGCGGGUCUCUGGGCCGAUACUGACGCUGAGGAGCGAAAGCGUGGGGAGCGAACAGG
This 253-nucleotide ribosomal RNA is filed under the name uncultured bacterium. RNAcentral's name for it is "partial 16S ribosomal RNA". It matches the Rfam family "Bacterial small subunit ribosomal RNA", at positions 524 to 776 of the family's 1533-position model. The record is from RNAcentral.